RNAcentral lists this ribosomal RNA (227 nucleotides) under uncultured bacterium. RNAcentral's name for it is "partial 16S ribosomal RNA". It matches the Rfam family "Bacterial small subunit ribosomal RNA", at positions 524 to 749 of the family's 1533-position model. The record is from RNAcentral.
GACGUAGGGAGCGAGCGUUGUCCGGAUUCAUUGGGCGUAAAGGGUCCGUAGGCGGCUCAGCAAGUCGGGUGUGAAAUCUCCAGGCUCAACCUGGAGGGGCCACUCGAUACUGCUGUGGCUUGAGUCCAGUAGGGGAGCAUGGAAUUCCCGGGUGUAGCGGUGAAAUGCGCAGAUAUCGGGAGGAACACCAGUGGCGAAGGCGGCUUACUGGUCCGGUUCGACGCUGA